RNAcentral lists this transfer RNA (82 nucleotides) under Nannocystaceae bacterium. RNAcentral's name for it is "tRNA-Ser". It matches the Rfam family "tRNA". From Rfam's summary of the family: Transfer RNA (tRNA) molecules are approximately 80 nucleotides in length. Their secondary structure includes four short double-helical elements and three loops (D, anti-codon, and T loops). The record is from RNAcentral. Lineage: Bacteria; Pseudomonadati; Myxococcota; Nannocystales; Nannocystaceae.
GAAGGAGUGGCCGAUGGUGGCGGACGUGAAAUCCGUUGUGCCUGCGAGGGUACCGGGGGUUCGAAUCCCUCCUCCUCCACCA